Nerophis ophidion (straightnose pipefish) is the source of this 1216-nucleotide long non-coding RNA. RefSeq lists it as uncharacterized. The record is from RefSeq and is a predicted model, not a curated record. NCBI's taxonomy places the organism in Eukaryota, Metazoa, Chordata, Actinopteri, Syngnathiformes, Syngnathidae. The transcript is spliced from 3 exons.
UUAAGUAUGCGUUCUCUAAGUUUGUCCUAAAUGAGUUGCCGUAUCCAGGAAGUGGCCUGUCAGCAGGGCUGUCUGCGACCUGAUCUGUUCAUCCGCUCCAUUCCUCGUACGAUUCGGGGCCACAAAAAGUUGCGAGUGCCAACAUUUUGAGGAAGAUCCCUGUUGAGUUCACGAAAGAACAGAAUAGGAUGGCGUCUCCACUCUCAUCGAGUCUUCAAAAAAGCGGGACGCAGCUGGUCAGUUCGGUCCAGUCGGCGUGGAGACCGCAGCUCCAGCCGGUGGAGAACCGGGAGAAGAGCCACGACUCGGUCUUCCCUGGCCGGUGACAGGUGCACUUCCUCUGGCCGGGCAGGCACUGGCAGGGCUGCUCCAGCUGGAUGUUUCUGACCAGGUGGCGGCCGAAGGUGGUGCCGCCGGUCUUCUGGAUGUGCAGGAACACCAUCACGUCGUCCCCGCGGAUGUCGAAGCCCGCGCGCCGCUCCAGGUCCCGCGGCGUGAAGUUGAAGCUGCUGCGGGCGCCCAGGUGCUCCUCCCCGGCGUGGCGCUCCGGCAGGUGGCCGCCGGAGGAGCAGACGUCGCUCCCCGCCGGACACACGUACUGGUAGCCGAGCAUGAAGCACAGCGCCGCCGCGAUGGGGACCAGGAUGAGUCGGCGGAACUUCUCCUCCAUGUUGGGGCAAUCACAGCGGCGUGCCGGCCAUCCCGCGGCCGCGCCUCCCCUCCUUCGAGUCCCGCCGGCAGGUGAGUGACGCGCCAGACUUGACGCAGGUGAGCCGCGUCGGUGCGCGCGCACAUGUGCGCACCGGAGCAGAUGUCCCGCCAAAGUGUGAUCUAGGCGCUCUGUUGAGUACUGGUGUGUCGUUCGCGAACGAUUCGUCCGAACGAACGAAUCUUUUGUGUGAAUUUACUGAACCGAAUCACUUCAUGAACCGAUUCGUUCCUUUCUCAGUUCAGUUGAGCUGAGACGCGACCAUGCCGGUAUGAGUGCAACUGGCGCAUUCUGUGACUCACUGAACCCUCGACGUCGGCGUCAUCAUGGAGGGGGCGGGGGGGAUUUAGCGAACGAUUCGUUCACCGCGGAUUAAGGACAUGAAUCACUCAGUGAACGACACGGCUCUCGUGAUAUUUUGAUUAUUUCUUUGUUAUAUUUUUAAACGUAGGCUACAGAACAUUUAGUUUUUAUGUUGGCAUUUCUGGCUCUUAAUUUAUUUGUUUU